GUGCUUGCUUUGGCAGAACAUCUGCUAGAACUGGAAAGAUAAAGAGAACAUUAGCAUGGCCCCUGCACAAGGAUGACACACAAAUUCGUGAAGCAUGCCAUAUUUAA
RNAcentral lists this small nuclear RNA (107 nucleotides) under Dasypus novemcinctus (nine-banded armadillo). The record is from RNAcentral. Lineage: Eukaryota; Metazoa; Chordata; Mammalia; Cingulata; Dasypodidae.